RNAcentral lists this ribosomal RNA (239 nucleotides) under uncultured bacterium. Its description in RNAcentral is "partial 16S ribosomal RNA". It matches the Rfam family "Bacterial small subunit ribosomal RNA", at positions 524 to 762 of the family's 1533-position model. The record is from RNAcentral.
UACAGAGGGUGCAAGCGUUGUUCGGAAUUAUUGGGCGUAAAGCGCGUGUAGGCGGCUUUGCAAGUCGGGUGUGAAAGCCCUCGCUCAACCGAGGAAGUGCGCCCGAAACUGCAGAGCUUGAGUACCGGAGAGGAUGGCGGAAUUCCCCAAGUAGAGGUGAAAUUCGUAGAUAUGGGGAGGAACACCGGUGGCGAAGGCGGCCAUCUGGACGGAUACUGACGCUGAGACGGCGAAAAGCG